GGUUGAUCAGUGGCGAACGGGUGAGUAACACGUGAGUAACCUGCCCCAGACUCUGGGAUAACUUCGGGAAAUCGGAGCUAAUACUGGAUAUGAGACGUCCUCGCAUGGGGAGCGUCUGGAAAGAUUUAUCGGUCUGGGAUGGACUCGCGGCCUAUCAGCUAGUUGGUGAGGUAAUGGCUCACCAAGGCGACGACGGGUAGCCGGCCUGAGAGGGCGACCGGCCACACUGGGACUGAGAUACGGCCCAGACUCCUACGGGAGGCAGCAGUGGGGAAUAUUGCACAAUGGGCGAAAGCCUGAUGCAGCGACGCCGCGUGAGGGAUGAAGGCCUUCGGGUUGUAAACCUCUUUCAGCAGGGAAGAAGCGAAAGUGACGGUACCUGCAGAAGAAGCGCCGGCUAACUACGUGCCAGCAGCCGCGGUAAUACGUAGGGCGCAAGCGUUGUCCGGAAUUAUUGGGCGUAAAGAGCUCGUAGGCGGUCUGUCGCGUCUGUUGUGAAAACUCGAGGCUCAACCUCGGGCUUGCAGUGGAUACGGGCAGACUAGAGUGCGGUAGGGGAGACUGGAAUUCCUGGUGUAGCGGUGGAAUGCGCAGAUAUCAGGAGGAACACCGAUGGCGAAGGCAGGUCUCUGGGCCGCAACUGACGCUGAGGAGCGAAAGCAUGGGGAGCGAACAGGAUU
This 680-nucleotide ribosomal RNA is filed under the name uncultured bacterium. RNAcentral describes it as "bacterial SSU rRNA". It matches the Rfam family "Bacterial small subunit ribosomal RNA", at positions 86 to 779 of the family's 1533-position model. The record is from RNAcentral.